UCCUGGUUAGCUCAGUUGGUAGACAGCUUCAUUGAUAUGAAGAGGUUCCUGGCUCGAUACCAGGACCAGGAU
RNAcentral lists this transfer RNA (72 nucleotides) under Ixodes scapularis (black-legged tick). It matches the Rfam family "tRNA". From Rfam's summary of the family: Transfer RNA (tRNA) molecules are approximately 80 nucleotides in length. Their secondary structure includes four short double-helical elements and three loops (D, anti-codon, and T loops). Lineage: Eukaryota; Metazoa; Arthropoda; Arachnida; Ixodida; Ixodidae. The record is from Rfam by way of RNAcentral.